RNAcentral lists this long non-coding RNA (573 nucleotides) under Heterocephalus glaber (naked mole-rat). Its description in RNAcentral is "lncRNA (ENSHGLG00000031958.1)". The record is from RNAcentral. Lineage: Eukaryota; Metazoa; Chordata; Mammalia; Rodentia; Bathyergidae.
UACAGUGUUUACCCCUUCUGGUGAGUUCAGCACUCAAAAUGACUCUUGGAGGACAGACAUACAGACACCACAUCUUGGCCUUAGACACCCAAGCUCACAGAAAGCUCAUCCAGCUCCCUCUUAGACAGUGCCAUUUUCCCAAAUAAGGAGAAUGACAGCUCAAAUGGGAUUCAACACUACAUCUCACAAAGUCAGCCCCUGAGACGGAGCCCGAACGUUACACCGGAACCGGAAACCUCCCGACUGCCCUAUGGCCUGCCGUCACUACAGACAUGGCCACCUCCAUGCUGCGGUCCUCUGACAUGUGACUCAUCAUACGUUUUUAGAAGGAAGCUACUGCACCCAAGGAUUGACUACUUAGUUCCAGAAAGAGCAAGUGAAAUGAUCCAACUGCUUCCACCAAGAGUUUGCUUACCCCUGAAUAAAACGUUUAAGAAAUGAAAUUAGUGUCAGUAUUUAAAUACAAGAUUUUAUAUAAAAAUUAGGUGCCUUUGUCACUUUUUCCCUCGCUGAGACACAAUACCGGAUAGCCACAAUUUAAAGAAAAACAGAUUAUUUUGGGUCAGUUUGUAG